RNAcentral lists this ribosomal RNA (253 nucleotides) under uncultured bacterium. Its description in RNAcentral is "partial 16S ribosomal RNA". It matches the Rfam family "Bacterial small subunit ribosomal RNA", at positions 524 to 776 of the family's 1533-position model. The record is from RNAcentral.
UACAGAGGUCUCAAGCGUUGUUCGGAUUCAUUGGGCGUAAAGGGUGCGUAGGUGGCGCCGUAAGUCAGGUGUGAAAUCGCGGGGCUCAACCCCGAAACUGCACUUGAUACUGCGGUGCUCGAGUACUGGAGAGGAGAUUGGAAUUUACGGUGUAGCGGUGAAAUGCGUAGAUAUCGUAAGGAAGACCAGUGGCGAAGGCGGGUCUCUGGACAGUUCCUGACGCUGAGGCACGAAGGUCAGGGGAGCAAACGGG